RNAcentral lists this ribosomal RNA (2631 nucleotides) under Triticum aestivum (bread wheat). RNAcentral's name for it is "partial small subunit ribosomal RNA". Lineage: Eukaryota; Viridiplantae; Streptophyta; Magnoliopsida; Poales; Poaceae. The record is from RNAcentral.
AUGAGUCUCUCAGGUGCUGUGGGAUGGUGGGACGAGUGGCAGCUGCGCAUCCUCGUCCUCGCCAGCCUCUUCAUGCAGUACCUCCUCUACCUCUGUGUAUGGCUGCGUAGAUCUCCCUCCAUGUCUAGGGCGAGAGUGUUGGUGUGGAUCGUUUACAUAGGCAGCGAUGCCGUAGCGAUCUACGCCCUCGCAACCCUCUUCAACCGCCAAAAGCGGACAUUGGAUGGGGGGAGCACCGCCCUGGAGGUUCUAUGGGCGCCUGUCCUCCUCAUCCACCUCGGCGGCCAGCCAUUCAUAAGUGCCUACAGCCUCGAAGACAAUGAGCUAUGGAAACGGCAUACCAUAACCCUGGUGUCUCAGGUCACGGUUGCCUUGUACGUCUUCUGCAAGUGGUGGUCGGGCGAGAAGAGGUUGCUGGCAGCAGGGGUCUUACUCUUUCUAUUUGGCAUCCUCAAAUUCGCCCAGAAGCCAUGGGCCCUCAGGACCGCCAGCUUUAACAGCAUGCAUGCUUUGCUGGAUGUGGAACAUAAAGGGCGCACAUAUUUGCUUGAAGACUAUGUACAAGCUGCCAAGGAGUGUGUACUGGACACGGAGAAGUCCGGGGGACGGUAUGGAUAUGGAUUACUAAGCAAUUAUAUGUUUGUCGAUCGGUCUGCUCCAUACUCUCUUCGGAUUGAAGUCCUGUCAGGUUUCAUGCGGUGUGAAUUUGAGCAUGAAUACAAAGAGUUGGGGGCUAGGCUUGGAGAUACAUUCAGUAUGCUGUACACUAGAGUACAAUCAUUUGCCACUAUACAUGGGUCCGCCUUCAUGUUUUUUCUUCCAUUCCUGGCCUUAUCUUCUAUAGUGCUUUUGGCCACGAGCCACAAGAAUGGCCACGAGGAGAAGGACAUCACGGUGACAUACAUCCUAUUCUGUUGCACCGCCAUGCUGGAGUUCCUGCUUCCCUGCAUGGUUUUGUCCUACAUGAUUUUGGCCCAGUGCAUUUCAUCUUUCGGUGGAGGGUUCAUUACGAAGCAUUUCGAAGGAUGGCAUGACAUGGUUUCUCAGUGCAACAUCAUGUCCUUCUGUGUUCGCAAGAAGAAGCCCACAUUCUUGAUGAAGCUUGCUGCCUUCAACUUUUUAAGGGAGUUUGUUAACAAACAUUGCUAUAUUCAGAAAAAAGCCAGAGCCUACCAAAUCACGGGGGUGGUUCGCCAGCACAUGGAAAAUGGUUGGAAGAAUUACAUAUGUGGCGUUGAAAGUUACAGGAAAUUCAGUGAGCUUCGAGGUCAGUGGGCUCUAAGAAGACACAAGCAAAUAGGGUGGAGCUUGAAUAUGAAUUUCGACAAGAGCGUCCUCCUCUGGCACAUUGCCACGGACCUCUGCUUUUACCACCCCAACACAUCCCAUCAAUGUCGUCAACAAGCAGAAGCCACAUUGCGCAGCAGGGAGAUAUCCAACUAUAUGAUCUACCUGCUUCUCAUCCGUCCUGAGAUGCUAAUGCUCGGCAGCAGGUCGGAUCUCUUCACCUUGGCCAGCAACCAAAUUGGGAAAGACACGACAGAAGAAAUUCUUGCAGGGGAGAUUCUUAGUGUGCCCCCAUCUUCAGAUAAUUUGAUUUCCGAUGCACGCAAGCUCGCCCAAGAACUGAUGGUGCUGGAUAGCGAGGAAGCUAGGUGGAUAGUGAUCCAAGGUGUGUGGGUGGAGAUGCUCUGCUAUUCCGCCAGCAGGUGCAGGGGCUACCUACACGCCAAGAGCCUGGGUGAUGGCGGGGAGUGUCUCACCACUAUCUGGCUCCUGUGGGCAGUGAUGGGGUUGGAGACCUUGGCGGACAGAAAUCACAGGCCAGAGUUUCAGGACGAAGAAGAGAAAGUAGAAGAAAUAGAAUUAGAAGCAGCACUCCCCGUCGACAAGAAGGAUGAGAAGAAGAAUUACAUAUGUGGCGUUGAAAGUUACAGGAAAUUCAGUGAGCUUCGAGGUCAGUGGGCUCUAAGAAGACACAAGCAAAUAGGGUGGAGCUUGAAUAUGAAUUUCGACAAGAGCGUCCUCCUCUGGCACAUUGCCACGGACCUCUGCUUUUACCACCCCAACACAUCCCAUCAAUGUCGUCAACAAGCAGAAGCCACAUUGCGCAGCAGGGAGAUAUCCAACUAUAUGAUCUACCUGCUUCUCAUCCGUCCUGAGAUGCUAAUGCUCGGCAGCAGGUCGGAUCUCUUCACCUUGGCCAGCAACCAAAUUGGGAAAGACACGACAGAAGAAAUUCUUGCAGGGGAGAUUCUUAGUGUGCCCCCAUCUUCAGAUAAUUUGAUUUCCGAUGCACGCAAGCUCGCCCAAGAACUGAUGGUGCUGGAUAGCGAGGAAGCUAGGUGGAUAGUGAUCCAAGGUGUGUGGGUGGAGAUGCUCUGCUAUUCCGCCAGCAGGUGCAGGGGCUACCUACACGCCAAGAGCCUGGGUGAUGGCGGGGAGUGUCUCACCACUAUCUGGCUCCUGUGGGCAGUGAUGGGGUUGGAGACCUUGGCGGACAGAAAUCACAGGCCAGAGUUUCAGGACGAAGAAGAGAAAGUAGAAGAAAUAGAAUUAGAAGCAGCACUCCCCGUCGACAAGAAGGAUGAGAAGAAGAAUCACAUACUUCCUUCAUGUUCCCAAGUCUAA